CACGUAGGGGGCAAGCGUUGUCCGGAUUUAUUGGGCGUAAAGAGCUCGUAGGCGGCUUAGUAAGUCGGGUGUGAAACCUCCAGGCUCAACCUGGAGACGCCACCCGAUACUGCUGUGGCUAGAGUCCGGUAGGGGAGCGUGGAAUUCCUGGUGUAGCGGUGAAAUGUGUAGAGAUCGGGAGGAACACCGGUGGCGAAGGCGGGAUCCUGGGCCAGUACUGACGCCGAGGAGCGAAAGCGUGGGGAGCAAACAGG
Molecule: ribosomal RNA, 254 nt
Filed under: uncultured bacterium
Lineage: Bacteria
Description: partial 16S ribosomal RNA
Rfam family: Bacterial small subunit ribosomal RNA
Source: RNAcentral